UGGGGAAUAUUGCACAAUGGGGGAAACCCUGAUGCAGCGACGCCGCGUGAGCGAAGAAGGUUUUCGAAUCGUAAAGCUCUGUCCUAUGGGAAGAUAAUGACGGUACCAUAGGAGGAAGCCCCGGCUAACUACGUGCCAGCAGCCGCGGUAAUACGUAGGGGGCAAGCGUUGUCCGGAAUCACUGGGCGUAAAGGGUUCGCAGGCGGAAAUGCAAGUCAGUUGUGAAAGGCAGAGGCUCAACCUCUGUAAGCAAUUGAAACUGUAUUUUUUGAGAUGUGGAGAGGCAAGUGGAAUUCCUAGUGUAGCGGUGAAAUGCGUAGAUAUUAGGAAGCAUACCGGUGGCGAAGGCGACUUGCUGGACACAAACUGACGCUGAGGAACGAAAGCGUGGGUAGCAAACAGG
Molecule: ribosomal RNA, 403 nt
Filed under: Fusobacteriota bacterium
Lineage: Bacteria; Fusobacteriati; Fusobacteriota
Description: Fusobacteria bacterium partial 16S ribosomal RNA
Rfam family: Bacterial small subunit ribosomal RNA
Source: RNAcentral